Molecule: ribosomal RNA, 402 nt
Filed under: Mesorhizobium sp.
Lineage: Bacteria; Pseudomonadati; Pseudomonadota; Alphaproteobacteria; Hyphomicrobiales; Phyllobacteriaceae
Description: bacterial SSU rRNA
Rfam family: Bacterial small subunit ribosomal RNA
Source: RNAcentral
GCCAAGUCGAGCGCCCCGCAGGGGAGCGGCAGACGGGUGAGUAACGCGUGGGAAUCUACCCAUCUCUACGGAACAACUCCGGGAAACUGGAGCUAAUACCGUAUACGUCCUUUUGGAAAAGAUUUAUCGGAGAUGGAUGAGCCCGCGUUGGAUUAGCUAGUUGGUGGGGUAAUGGCCUACCAAGGCGACGAUCCAUAGCUGGUCUGAGAGGAUGAUCACCCACAUUGGGACUGAGACACGGCCCAAACUCCUACGGGAGGCAGCAGUGGGGAAUAUUGGACAAUGGGCGCAAGCCUGAUCCAGCCAUGCCGCGUGAGUGAUGAAGGCCCUAGGGUUGUAAAGCUCUUUCAACGGUGAAUAUAAUGACGGUAACCGUAGAAAAGCCCCGGCUAACUUCGUGCC